Long non-coding RNA from Exaiptasia diaphana, 291 nucleotides. RefSeq lists it as uncharacterized. Lineage: Eukaryota; Metazoa; Cnidaria; Anthozoa; Actiniaria; Aiptasiidae. The record is from RefSeq and is a predicted model, not a curated record. The transcript has 3 exons.
ACCAAACGCUCUUAGUCAAGAAAGAUCAUGAUGUGGUUUAUUAUCGUAAUCCUAACGCUGCAAUCCUGUACGAGCGCCAAGUCACCUGAUGGUAACAAGACGUCUUGUCCACAACCAAAAGUAGGACACUGUAUCUGUGUGUGGAACRGACAGUACUGUACAGUCAAGUGUCAAGGUCUGGAUGUUGUCCCGGAURCAUUGCCAACACAGACGACUCAUCUAACAAUGGUAAUGGGGACACUGAAGGAAUUCCCAAAAAACUACUUAAAAAACCUGAAAAACCUGAUGAAA